GCGUGGGUGAAGAAGGCCUUAGGGUUGUAAAACCCUUUCAGUCGUGAAGAUGAUGACGGUAGCGACAGAAGAAGCCCCGGCUAACUCCGUGCCAGCAGCCGCGGUAAUACGGAGGGGGCAAGCGUUGUUCGGAAUUACUGGGCGUAAAGGGCGCGUAGGCGGAAGAUCAAGUCAGGGGUGAAAGGCCUGGGCUCAACCCAGGAAUUGCCUUUGAAACUGAUCAUCUAGAGACCGGGAGAGGAUAGCGGAAUUCCCAGUGUAGAGGUGAAAUUCGU
Molecule: ribosomal RNA, 275 nt
Filed under: uncultured bacterium
Lineage: Bacteria
Description: partial 16S ribosomal RNA
Rfam family: Bacterial small subunit ribosomal RNA
Source: RNAcentral